UUUUUAUGACUAUCAUGCUGAUGCAAAUUAGUGAUGGCAUGCACUAUAUUAUAAAUUGUUAUAACAAGGAAACUAUAACACCGUGGGAAAUAUAAGUGAACAAGAUGAGGAGAGAGGCCCAUGUCAUGGAAGAAGAAUUAAUCCUAGAUCACGAACAUGCAUACUUGCUUUAGUGAUAGCAGAGACUUCAAUCAAAUUGCAAGGUCUCUCGCCGGUGGCAGUGCGUGCACCUCCCGCCUCCAUGGCCGGCUGCCACGAGGUCGUCUAGAUGCAUUCGCGGCCGAGCGAUGGAUCCUAGACCAAGCAAUGUGCCGAUGGACGAGAUUCCUGCAGCUUGUGGUCAACCAGUGUCUCUGCUCUACGACUACAAAAUGAAAUAGUUGUCUUUAUAAAAGUCUCUUUUGCUGUGUUGGUUGUAACUGGCUAUCUUGUGGAUGCCGGUGUGUGAGUGCAAGCUCAAGAACUGAGCUAUCAGUGUAAAUUUGACCUAUACCAACCAACAAAUAUAUACAAUAAUUUUGCAAAAACCUUGAUGUCAAAUACUAACCGGUGAACUUCAGAACUGAUGUGAUCUUGAGCAGAAUAGAGUUUUGUUGUGGAUAAAACCACUUCACUCUUUCAGGUUUUCACCCACCUUGAACAUAAUAAGUAACUCCGAAAUGGGUGACUAGUUAUUUCAAAAACGAACAAAAGACUAUGCAUAUUAGAACGAACAUGUCAACUAAAUUCCUCAGCUCAGAUACACAUCUGAACGAGCUCCGGUUGGUGCUAAAAAUCCACACACCAGCAAAAGCCAAGGCCGCCAGAUGCUAUACAAUGUAAUUCUUUUUUGUAAUCAAUACAAUGCCAAAUUGGACUGUGCUACAUCAUUCACCAGGUUACUGAACCUGAUUGGCCAAAGUUACCAAAACGCAUCAUUCACAUGUGAGCGGGUAUGACAUGAACAAGUACAAGAAAAUAAUGUAGAGAUACAGCAUAAAUAAACUAGCUAAUAAAAUUGAGAUGGAACCAUGGAGGACAAAUGUACUAGCUAAUACUCCAUCUCAAUUUGUUUGUUUACCAGGAGAAUUAAUCACCGUGGUGACACCUUGUAUGUUCGCACCACGUCACACUGG
This 1115-nucleotide long non-coding RNA is filed under the name Triticum aestivum (bread wheat). RNAcentral describes it as "long non-coding RNA (TAES_LNC011202)". The record is from RNAcentral. Lineage: Eukaryota; Viridiplantae; Streptophyta; Magnoliopsida; Poales; Poaceae.